GUGGCUGCCCAGAAGACUAGGAAAUCAGGUUCAGCCCCUAAGGGCGAGGCCAGAGAUGUCCGUGCGGUGAUGUCAUCGCUGCGGUGGUGCUUCGGGGGCUUCCAGACCCUCUCCUGGAUUUGGUGAUGGUCACACCACAGCCGUGGUGUAGCUGAGCCUCUACUACAGCUACAACCUCCCUCUGGAGAGAACCUAGUGUCCUAUAUGGGGAAGCAAAGCAGCAGCUCACAACUCCGACCUACAACUCCCGAUGAAGGCACAACGACGCACCAUGCUGCUCCUUUGGAAG
Molecule: long non-coding RNA, 289 nt
Organism: Triticum dicoccoides
Lineage: Eukaryota; Viridiplantae; Streptophyta; Magnoliopsida; Poales; Poaceae
Exons: 3
Source: RefSeq, a predicted model, not a curated record